GUGAAGCUCACAGUACAUGUGGAGGACUCUCCUGUGGAUCUGAAUGACUCUGCUGUGAAAGCAGAACUGCUGACAAGGGUGAAGGAGCAGCUGAAGAAGAAAGGAGAUGGAGUCAGUGUGAGGUGGAGAGUGCAGCCUGAUGGGAAGCUCUUGGCUGGAGAUGGAAGAAGAAAGAAGACUCUGAGAGGAAAAGAAAAAUGUUUCAGAAGCUUUUCUGCUUGAAUCAUGUGACAGCCAAUCAAACUUUAUUAUCCACACGUCAUUCUCCCAGCUGUGUCUGAGCACAGAUGUGGGCUAACAUCUGUUUUUAGGCUCUUCUGUCACAGUUUUUGUGGGCGUGGCCUCUUCUUUGGCUUUCAUACAGAUAAAUGCAGACGUGUUUGUGAGCCACAGGUUUCUGCUGACACACGUUCACUUUUGGAAACCAGAGAGACAAACAUGCUGUCACCAUGGAAACAAGCACAGGAAAUACAGCAGGCUGAAACUGUCAUGCAUUUCGUUGCCCUGUACCUGUGCAUGUGCAAUGACAAUAAAGUUGAAUUCUAUUCUAUUCUAUUCAUGGUCCUGGCUCUUUGAGUUUCUGGACUGUGUGUUUAGUAUAAAAUAUUUUCUAUGUGAUUAUUAGUUUGCUGAUUGUUUCUAUUUCAUCUCCGUGUUAUUCCUCAGUGUUUCAGUCUGGAGUGUUUAUUUCCAGUUACUGUUGAUGUUGCUUUAUUUUAUUCCUUCACUGUUUCCCGUCUCAUCCUCCUGUGAUAAGUUCUUUCAUGCGUCUGUGCUGUCAUGUACUUAUGGUUCUCCCUUCCUGUUUUAUUUUUUUGUCAUUGUUUUAAAUCACAUGACAGAAACCAGCGACGGCCAAAUAAAGCUUUAUGAAGUAUUGAAGCUCAUAUUUAAAAAAGGGUUUGUUACUCAAAGCUUUCUAACACAGUCCUCUUUUGUGGCAUCCAGUGGACAAAAUGCAAAGAGCAGCUUGAAUCUACAAAUUAAAAUGAAUGCUUCAUUAUGAUUGCCUACUCUGCAGAGCUAAGUUGGCAGCUUCUAUUCAAUAUCAUGUUACAGCUCUGAUAUUGGGCUACUGUUUGUUUUCUGAUUAAUAAAUAAUUAUGAUGAAUGAA
This is a long non-coding RNA of Astatotilapia calliptera (eastern happy), 1115 nucleotides long. The record is from Ensembl. NCBI's taxonomy places the organism in Eukaryota, Metazoa, Chordata, Actinopteri, Cichliformes, Cichlidae.